UAAAGUGGCGCACGGGUGAGUAACACGUGGAUCAUCUACCUUUUAGUGGGGAAUACCUCUGGGAAACCGGAGACAAUACCGCAUAAGCCUGUAAAGGGAAAGCAGCAAUGCGCUGAAAGAGGAGUCCGCGGCCGAUUAGCUAGUUGGCGGGGUAAUGGCCCACCAAGGCGAAGAUCGGUAGCCGGCCUGAGAGGGCACACGGCCACACUGGCACUGAAACACGGGCCAGACUCCUACGGGAGGCAGCAGUGGGGAAUCUUGCACAAUGGGCGAAAGCCUGAUGCAGCGACGCCGCGUGAGCGAUGAAGCCCUUCGGGGUGUAAAGCUCUUUCGACGGGAACGAUAAUGACGGUACCCGGAGAAGAAGCUGCGGCUAACUACGUGCCAGCAGCCGCGGUAAUACGAGGGGGGCGAGCGUUGUUCGGAAUUAUUGGGCGUAAAGGGCGCGUAGGCGGCUGGAUAAGUCUUGUGUGAAAUCUUCGGGCUCAACUCGAAGUCUGCACAGGAAACUAUCCGGCUUGAGUGUGGGAGAGGUGAGUGGAAUUCCUGGUGUAGCGGUGAAAUGCGUAGAUAUCAGGAGGAACACCUGUGGCGAAAGCGGCUCACUGGACCACAACUGACGCUGAGGCGC
Molecule: ribosomal RNA, 631 nt
Filed under: uncultured bacterium
Lineage: Bacteria
Description: bacterial SSU rRNA
Rfam family: Bacterial small subunit ribosomal RNA
Source: RNAcentral